This 506-nucleotide ribosomal RNA is filed under the name uncultured bacterium. RNAcentral describes it as "partial 16S ribosomal RNA". It matches the Rfam family "Bacterial small subunit ribosomal RNA", at positions 28 to 523 of the family's 1533-position model. The record is from RNAcentral.
GAUGAACGCUAGCUACAGGCUUAACACAUGCAAGUCGAGGGGUAACGAGAGGAAAGCUUGCUUUCCUUGUCGACGACCGGCGCACGGGUGAGUAACGCGUAUCCAACCUGCCCCCAACUAGGGAAUAACCUUGCGAAAGUAAGACUAAUACCCUAUAAUUUCCUCAGAUGACAUCUGACGAGGAAUAAAGAUUUAUCGGUUGUGGAUGGGGAUGCGUCUGAUUAGCUUGUUGGCGGGGUAACGGCCCACCAAGGCAACGAUCAGUAGUGGUUUUGAGAGGAAGGUCCCCCACAUUGGAACUGAGAUCCGGUCCAAACUCCUACGGGAGGCAGCAGUGGGGAAUAUUGGUCAAUGGGCGGAAGCCUGAACCGGCCAAGUAGCGUGCAGGAUGACGGCCCUAUGGGUUGUAAACUGCUUUUAUACAGGAAUAAAGUUAGCCACGUGUGGUUAUUUGUAGGUACUGUAUGAAUAAGGACCGGCUAAUUCCGUGCCAGCCGCCGCGGUAA